AUCUGCUUUGCUAGAACUUUUUAUAAGGAAUCUCUAGGUUGAACUUUUAGUAGUCUCUACGGGCCAGAAGUCAAGCCACGUACUUGCCAUCAGGCAUGUCUGCAAUACCUGUCAAUUUGGGCGAAUUUUUCUUCUUGAGACUGCACAUACCAAGG
This is a long non-coding RNA of Lutra lutra (Eurasian river otter), 155 nucleotides long. RefSeq lists it as uncharacterized. The record is from RefSeq and is a predicted model, not a curated record. The transcript is spliced from 3 exons. Lineage: Eukaryota; Metazoa; Chordata; Mammalia; Carnivora; Mustelidae.